Molecule: ribosomal RNA, 253 nt
Filed under: uncultured bacterium
Lineage: Bacteria
Description: partial 16S ribosomal RNA
Rfam family: Bacterial small subunit ribosomal RNA
Source: RNAcentral
UACGUAGGGGGCAAGCGUUGUCCGGAUUUAUUGGGCGUAAAGAGCGUGUAGGCGGCUAGGUAGGUCCGUUGUGAAAACUCGAGGCUCAACCUCGAGACGCCGGUGGAAACCAUCUAGCUAGAGUCCGGAAGAGGAGAGUGGAAUUCCUGGUGUAGCGGUGAAAUGCGCAGAUAUCGGGAGGAACACCAAUGGCGAAGGCAGCUCGCUGGGACGGUACUGACGCUGAGGCGCGAAAGCGUGGGGAGCAAACAGG